Lytechinus pictus (painted urchin) is the source of this 2644-nucleotide long non-coding RNA. RefSeq lists it as uncharacterized. The transcript has 3 exons. The record is from RefSeq and is a predicted model, not a curated record. NCBI's taxonomy places the organism in Eukaryota, Metazoa, Echinodermata, Echinoidea, Temnopleuroida, Toxopneustidae.
ACGCGCGCGCGCACGUACGCAUGUAACCGCCAAUUGCAAUAUUUGAAAAAAGAACCCGAUCAACCACUGUUUUGCUGUUCAGAAGUCCGUCUAUAAUUCAUCAUAAACUAAAGGAACACAGGUCAGAUUCGGACAACGACUUCAAAUUCAUUCGCAGAAUACGCUAAACAAUUGGACGACGGAUACACUGGAUGAUAAUGUAGAUGGUCCAGGAUUAUCUGGGAAGGAAACUACAGGUGUUGAACACAGAAAACCGUUUACAAGAAAACAACUGGAGUUUGUGAAAGCUGCAAGAAAUUAAUCUUGCCGGGUACGCAUUCACUUCACCUUGGUCGAGUGCAGCACAGUGGAUAAAUGCAGAAGCGGAUCUAGAGGGGGGGUUGGGGGGGUUGCAACCCCCCCAAAAAAAAAAAAUCCGGGGACCAUUUUUUUAAAUCUUAUCUUUUUUUUUAAACUUGUAAUUUUAGAAAACGCCAUUUUCACACACAGAUUUUCAAAAAUUUUCCCUACUGUGGGAGGGGGGACACCCCCCUCCCACACCCUCCCCCCUCGCUCGCUCCGCUCGCUUGGACUCGGUCGCUACGCUCCUUCGCAUACCACCCCAACCCCCCCCCCUUUAUAAAAAGCUGGAUCCGCCCCUGAAAUGUGUUGCUGAAUGAAAACACCAUUGCUAGGAUUCAAACCCACGACACUCUGUUGAAAGGUGAGAGUCAGAACCACUAGACCACGACGCACCCACAAUUAACAAGCUGAUGUCAUACCCCCACUUGUUCUUUUGUAUUUUAUAACAAGAAGUCAUGUUUAUUCACAUUUUGACCUCCAAGAACUAAAAAGUGGAGUGAAGAUUUAUUUAAUGUAAAUAUGUUAUAUGUAAAAUGUCCUCAUGAAUAUACAAGAUCCCAAUUUAUAUAUUUUUUUGACUUAUAUGAAUUCAAAUUUUGUCCAAGCUAGGUUGUAAAAAAUUACGAUUGACUACUGAUUUACUGUGUAAGACAAAAAUUAUAUUAUUUCUCACACAUAGUUGAGUUAUUCAUCUGAUUCAACACAACAAAAAUAGACAAAAAAGAAAAAAGUGGGAAUCUUGUAUAUUUGAACUAUGGGAAAUAGUUAAAAAAUAGAUGUGCUACUAAGAAUUAUUUUCUAUAUGAUUUGCAAAAUAUUAAAAAAAGAUGUCGCUAUUUUUUUUUUUUCUAUUUUCAUGAUAUAUUCUUUAUUAUUCUAUUCUAUAUAUUCUAUUUUUGAUAAUGAUAUUAUUUAUUUCUUUAUGUAUCUUUAAUGUAUUUAUGAUAAACUUUUGGCAUGUUUCUACAGAAAAUCAAUAAAAACGAUUUAUCUUUUCCGGACUCGAAAAACCUUAUCGCCCUUAAACCAACCUGCUUCUACAAACCGAAUAAUCUGAUUAAUUCACUUUUCGCGUAGCAAAUACGGCGGAAAUAGGAAAAUUCAACCUAUAACCUCACGUUGCAUUGUACAUAUGUCCAAAAUUGCAUCUUCUUAGGAAAAUUUUCAAAAUUUGUGGUAGAUCUCACUCAAUGUAGCAGGUAUACGUGUUGCACGAUCAGCUGGCGAGAUCGAAAAGGCCAGAAUGUACAAAUAUAUGUACUGCGAAAUUGCACUUCCGGGAUUAAGCACGUCCGCCAGACACGAUACGCUAUUUUGCCGUGUGUUUUUACAGAAAAGUUAAACGGAUUAACAUGGCAAUAACCACCUCUCAGAGAUGGUUAUGAGAAACCAUAUUUUGCUUGAAGCAGUUUAUCAAUAAACCGCAUCGCGUCUGUUUCUACAAAAUUCUACAGGAAAGUUUUCCAGGAUUCUGGAUACUUACGCGGGUAAUACCUUUUAACGAUUCUAUGUAGAAACAAGCCGUUUGAUAUAUCUUUUAGGUGAAAAGAAAAUAGAGAAAUAUUAGGAGGUUCUAUUUUUAUGGGGGUACUAUUUUCCCCCCUUUUGGGGAUAUUUAUUUCCUCUAAGUUUGGUACUCUUUACCUUUAAUGAAUCAUUUGGCCAUGUGAAGGCUAUCACACAUUUUGAGUUUAAUCUUCGAAAUUUGGUGUUCAUCAGUUUGUUGUCCAAACUCUGUCUUACAUGUAGAUUUGUUUAUAGGAAGAUUAACAUAAUAUCUAUGUGGAGUGCAAUCAUUGACCUCUUGCAGAGUCGUGCAGUCACAUGUAUUCAUAAUGCUGGUGCUUUUAUGCCAUACAUGUACUUGUCAAUACUGGGUUCCACUCUUUUGUACUUGAACUUAUUAGUAAAAAAAAUAUUUUAUUAAUGUCAUUGAAGUAGCUGUGUGAAAGCAAUUACACACAACAGAUUUAAAAUCAAGGUUAUUGUAUUACAAGUAUCAGGUUUGUUUGCAGAACAGUGGUUUUGCCAAGUACUCAAUCCACGUAAAAAGCCAUCAGAGAGAACAUGUUUAUUCUUGGAAAUGUUAUUAAUUUGUUGUGUUUUUCAAUUAAACUCUGUCUUGAUACAUGUUUAUUUUAGAUACCAAGAUUGACAGAGUAUAGAUGUCAACGAGGAGCAAAGUCAUAUAUAUUCAUAACUUAUGUGCUUUAAUUAUAAAGUCUAUACUUGUGAAUACUGUGUUCCAUUUAUGCUGUACUUAAACUUCUUAUAGUAAAAACAUUUGACGUUCUUGAAAUAA